AUGCCCAUUGGAAACUGGAAACGCUUUUGCUCGCAUAUGUCAUCAUCCAUCGGUAGACAGCGGCAGCAGAUCACCACCAGUAGGCGUAGGCGGAGACAACUGAGGUCUAGGCAACUAGAAGACAGGUGUUGGGACGAGAAUGGCUGCCCGCAUUUUCCACCACCUAAGCCAAAUGCUCUUAGAGCUCAAGUUGCAAUACCAGAGAUAGAGGCACCUACUGAUCCCACUAAUGAUUCAGUCAUUCUGAGCAGGGCUGAAAUGAUGAAUUACAAUCUCUUCACCUAUCCAGCACCAAUUUUCCCAUGGUUGGUGUUGCUUGUCGGUAGCAUGGAUGAUGGUUUAACUCAUUAAAGUAGUAUGUGGUUUAUUGAUUCAGGAGCAUCCAGAUAUUUAUGUGGAAAUUGAAAUUCAUCUUCCAAAGAAAGAAAGUGGAGGGAAAAUGAUGUUCAGAAAUACGUAUUAGGUGACAACCAGAGCUGGACCAACAGACAGAGAUUCUUCAAUAUCAUAAACUUGAGGGCACCAGGCUUACCAAGAACUCACUCAAGAAAAGCCUCAAAUUAGAGGUGCAUAAACAUGCAUUGCUGAAACUUUAAACAGUACAGAAUAACAGGCCUUAUAGCCGUAAGCAAGGAACUCAAGUCCCUCAUUUAUAGAAGAAAAGAAAACAAGAAGGAUAAAGGAGCUGGCUGUUGGGCCAGCUCCAAAGCAAGAACAAUGAAGAAUCCAACAGAAACAUUAUUUCCUUUGACUACCAAGAACUUGGACAGAUAAAACCAAGGUGCCCAAAGCUGAAAAGGUUUGAAAAAACAGCAACUGCAGCUAAAGUUGUGAUGCAAUUGGAUCUAUUAGAGGUUUUUUGCUGGCUCAACUAACCAAAGCUCUACAACCAUAUUUAAAAGAAGCUACUCUAACAAUAGGAGGAGUUGCCUCUAGACUAACUUGCCAAUUGAUAAGGUGCUUUUUCCCUUACAAUAUUUUUGGUUCACCCUCUUCUUCUUUACAUUUCAAUCUGUGUCAAACAUAUAAACUUUUUAUAUUAGAUAGUUUAGUUAUGUGCAGUUUUAAAUUGGUUAGCUCUGGCCAGUUCGGCUAACUGAGCCGAAUGUGCUAUGUCAGAGAAGCACCCGCACCAGCGCAAAUGUCUACAUGGAUGUGACAGGAGUGCGGCAGCCAUUUAGGAGCACCCAUGUGAUACAGAUUUCAAUAUUGACUUACUAUGGUGUCAAUAACAUUUUCAGGGAUUGAAAAUCUUUUAGCAACAGUCAAUCCUCUUUCUUUUUCUAGACUAUAUGCCCUUUUAAAUAUCUAAGCAUAAUAAUUUUAAAUCCACAAAAGCCCAACAACCUACAGGCAGUUAUGAAGCGAUAUGAACAAAUAAAAAAAUAGUAUAAUACAAGUUAACAAUGUUGACAUGGCAGUCAUAUGGAAAACACUUGAAUAUCCUAUUAUAUCAGCUUUUUAAGCUACAAUAAUGACACAAUUUUCAACAAUCAAAAUGAUGGUUGAUGAACAGCUAUUAGAGCAUAAGUUAGAAGAACACAAAGUCUGGUGCAUUAAGUUCUUCGAAAGCACAAAAUUGGAAACAUAGAUAUGAUAAUAAUAAUAUCAAAACUAGCUCUGAGAUAUUAAAAAAAAAAAAAGAAGACUACCUUGAUUGUAGCAAAGGUUGCCACCUUCAUAAGACAAGCUGUCCCAGUAUUCCCCUAUAGCAAAUGCAGGGUUUGAAGCUUCAAUAUACUCUUUCACAUAAUGACCUGAAAAUCCC
Long non-coding RNA from Nymphaea colorata (pocket water lily), 1768 nucleotides. RefSeq lists it as uncharacterized. NCBI's taxonomy places the organism in Eukaryota, Viridiplantae, Streptophyta, Magnoliopsida, Nymphaeales, Nymphaeaceae. The transcript has 3 exons. The record is from RefSeq and is a predicted model, not a curated record.